CUACCAAGGUAUUCUAAGGUGUAUGAUGAAACGAUCUUAGGAUCGUUCUCUCUGCUGAAGUUUAUUCACUGGUUAUAUUUGGAUUUAUCGUUAAUACUUGAAUAAAGAUUAUGGGCAUUAAAUUAGUUCUUAGUUUAAUUGUUCAUAA
Drosophila willistoni is the source of this 148-nucleotide long non-coding RNA. RefSeq lists it as uncharacterized. The record is from RefSeq and is a predicted model, not a curated record. NCBI's taxonomy places the organism in Eukaryota, Metazoa, Arthropoda, Insecta, Diptera, Drosophilidae. The transcript has 2 exons.